This 1975-nucleotide long non-coding RNA is filed under the name Homo sapiens (human). RNAcentral describes it as "HSALNT0273765". Lineage: Eukaryota; Metazoa; Chordata; Mammalia; Primates; Hominidae. The record is from RNAcentral.
UCCAGGGACAAGGACAGUCAAUGAGCAAUCUUUCAACCUUUUCCUGUGGUUCCGAUGAGCAGUCAGGUUUGAGACGUGCUGCUUGACACAGUGAUACUCUCUCCCUUUCCACCUCCUUUUCAGGCCCGCUUGGCUGUGGUUUACUUUUACACAUGUAUGUCAAUAGCUUCAACGUGCCCCAUCAUUCGACUUUUCUCAGGUUAGCCAAACACUCUUACGUGACCAAUGGGGUUCUGAACCAGAAGCUUAGAACUUGGAUCCUAGAUGUGAGAAAUCAUUUUCUGUAUGACCUUGGCGAAGUUGUUCCAUUGCUCAGUGUCUGAUUUUCUCCACUGGUAAUAUACAAGUAUUCAAGCCUUGCAUCUGCCAACCUAAGCAAAAAUAUCUACAUGAAAUAUAUUGAGCUGGGAAAUAAAUUUUGAAGGAACUUCAGAAGAAUUAGAUCUACAGCUUCGUAUAUUAGAUCUUGGGGAAAACUUCAGCCUGGCUGAAUUAAAAUACAGACAUGUGGUUCUAUAAUUUAUGGAAAUGUAUAUAUAUAAUAAGGACAGAUUAUUUUCAUCUUCUUAGAAGCAUGAUCCUGCCUGAAGGGGCAGAGUUGGCCCAAGCUGUCUUUGAGAUUAUUUAUAGGGACACUAUAUAUUAAUGACCUAGGGCUUUUCAUCAGACUUGCAUACCAAAUGCAUCAUUUGUGUAUAGUUUCUGGAGGUGUGGGGGACUUUGAAAAAGAACCUACCUUCUGCUUCAUUUCCUUGCCUUUGCAGACAUAGCGCUGUUUUAAUCCAGCACAGAUGAAGAAGGUGGUCAUCCUCCUUGGAACGGAGACUGCACAGCCUGGCCUUCAUGGCGAGGCUCCCUUCUUCUACCUUCACUGCUUCCCAGCCCGAUGCCAACUAUACACUCUGGGUGUCUACAUGGGGAGCCUCAGCAUCCCUGGCCCGAUGGGUGAACCCAGGGGCUCCUGUCUUUGACUCCUCACCUCCUUCCCUGCUGCCCUGAGCUUGAAUCUUCCUGCAGACUCUAGCCUGCUGCCAACCACUGGAUGUGAUGUGGCCCCGAGCCGGGAGGCUAUGCAGGUUCUAUCCACAGAUAUGGACAUGCAGCCUAAUUCUUUAAACCCCUCCUGGAAGGAUGUACUUGUUGUAAGGAUGCAUGAGUAUGUGUGCUUGUUUACUCAAGCCUUGUCUCCCACCUUCUGGACUUUAAGCCUCUUGAGAGAGGGAGAGGCCAGGCCACAUCACCCCGCUUAUUUUUUCAUUGCCAUGCCUGGCAUGAUGCCCAGCACUGAGUCGGCACCUGAAACCACUUCUGAAUAAAUAAAUACCCAGCGGUCACUAAGUGUGAAUGUUGCUGUAGGAAAGAAAGCUCUUUUGUUCUGUGAAAUUAAAUUCUCUUUCCCAUGCCAACAGGUAAGAAUUUUCUCUUUUGAAAAUGAGAAAAAAGGGUAUUUUAAAAUCGGCUGUCAAAUUUUAGUCCAGUUUUCUAAAAUGUUAAAAAAUCUUCCCACAAAACACACCUGUUUUAAACCUAGAUAAUUGGGUUUUACUGCCUUUCUGAAGAAAAAAUAAUAAUUAACAGAAAUAUUUGGCUAUGGUCUUCCAGGAUUUUAGCAACUAAUAUUGCACAAACAUCAUUAUGCCUCUACAUCAUACCCCAUAUCUUCUCCACACUACUGGUCACUCUUAAUUAGCCACUCUGUAUAGUAGGUGUGUAUGUUUUUUUAUUUCUUGAAGUUAUUGAGAACCUGGUAUGCAUAACUUGUAUUUUCUUUCUCUCUCUCUCUCUCUUUCCUUUACCCUCUAUGUCUCCCUCUAAUCUGAAAUAAUUUGGGUUUUAUGCAUGCAACCUUCCAUCCCAUCUUCACACCUAGGUGAAGUGACUCUUCCAAAAGGCACCAGCCAACAGGAGAGAAAGGAAGAAUAUGGGAGACAUACAGGGACAGAUCCAUGAUUCUUUCUGCAGAACCAGCCUGCUC